Molecule: long non-coding RNA, 383 nt
Organism: Triticum dicoccoides
Lineage: Eukaryota; Viridiplantae; Streptophyta; Magnoliopsida; Poales; Poaceae
Exons: 4
Source: RefSeq, a predicted model, not a curated record
AGGGUGAAAAGUACUAGGAACUGGAACUAGAAGAAUUGAAGAAAGCCCCCAAGUUCAAGGCCAAGCCACUGAACAAAAAGAUUCUUGAGAGGAAGGGCGGUAUUGGUGUUUUUGCCCAUCCGAAGGUCCAGGCAACAGAGCCCAAGGAGUUCCAUUUUCGUACUGACGACCUCUUGGGACCUCCUGCAGUUGCGGAUCUUCUCGACAAGCUUUCUCUGUACUCUGAAUCUUCUUCCUACAAUGACAAGAGAGAUAUGCCGAGACUGACGAUACCCAAACCUUUCAAUCUACAUACAGAUAUAUGGAAGAUCUAAAAGCCUCUGUGAAAGAUUUUUGGUUCUGUAGAAGCAAAUGAUCUGGCACACUGAGACCUUAAUUUCUGG